Molecule: long non-coding RNA, 1143 nt
Filed under: Homo sapiens (human)
Lineage: Eukaryota; Metazoa; Chordata; Mammalia; Primates; Hominidae
Description: non-protein coding lnc-CEP120-6:1
Source: RNAcentral
GCAGGCGCAGCCGGCCGGCAGUCCCGUCAGCUGUCCCAGAGCCUGUGUCGCGCCCGUGCCGGUAGCGCCCGUGCCGGUAGCGCCGCUGCCACCGCUCACCAUGGGCCCGGGUCCUCGGCUGCUGCUACCUCUCGUGCUUUGCGUGGGGCUCGGCGCACUUGUGUUUUCUUCGGGGGCCGAGGGCUUCCGCAAGCGAGGCCCCUCGGUGACGGCCAAGGUCUUCUUUGAUGUGAGGAUUGGAGACAAAGAUGUUGGCAGAAUUGUGAUUGGCCUCUUUGGAAAAGUUGUGCCCAAGACAGUGGAAAAUUUUGUUGCUCUAGCAACAGGAGAGGUAUGUCUCAAUUUUAUUUCCUUUAAAUUGGGUCUUCUUUCUUUGAAGCCAAAUAUAAAGAUGUCAUCUGAGAAAAUAAGUAUUAAAUUAGUAUGUCAGAUGAACCUUACCACAUUUGACUUUAUUUUCCAAUUAAAUAUGUAUUAUUUGGGCACUCAGUGCCCUUAGGCUUCUGGAAAUUGGGAGAAAAUCAUCAUCAAGUGAAAAUAUGGUUUGCUCUCUUUUAACUUAUUCACAUUAAUACUCUACUUCCAUAACAUAUUUAUUUUUUGGUCAGCUAAUGAUAAAUUUCUCUCAGUAAACCAUAGCUGGGAUAGAAUCAAGUUCUGUAGGCAUUUUGUUUAAUUUUCUCAGUUUGUCCUUUCUAGAUCAACACUGAGUUUAUCUUUCAGUAUGGCCUCUGUUACUUGUUAUUCAACUGAAGUAAUCUCUUUAGAAAGGAUAUGGAUAUAAAGGAAGCAAGUUUCAUCGUGUCAUCAAGGAUUUCAUGAUUCAAGGAGGUGACAUCACCACUGGAGAUGGCACUGGGGGUAACGUCUUUGCAUUUUUCCUUUCCCAUUUACCAAACCGAAAUCUAAGGUUAAGCCAGUAUAUGAACCCAGUCUGUUGAAAUCCAGAGCUAAGGAACACAGUUGUAAAGACGACUGUACCUCUUUGAGAAGGAUGGAGUUUUGGGGACUCAUCUAGCAGCAUCUCGACAGGUAUGAGGGAGGCGUCCUUAUUUUAAGCAGGAUUGUUUUGGUGUUUAUUGUCUUUCCGUAAUUGAGAUGUAUUCAUUUUGCAGUUAUUAAAAUACCAGACUACUAGUCAGU